ACUGCUCAGUAACACGUGGAUAACCUGCCCUUGGGUCCGGCAUAACCCCGGGAAACUGGGGAUAAUUCCGGAUAACGCACAUAUGCUGGAAUGCUUUAUGCGUAAAAUGGAUUCGUCUGCCCAAGGAUGGGUCUGCGGCCUAUCAGGUAGUAGUGGGUGUAAUGUACCUACUAGCCAACAACGGGUACGGGUUGUGAGAGCAAGAGCCCGGAGAUGGAUUCUGAGACAUGAAUCCAGGCCCUACGGGGCGCAGCAGGCGCGAAAACUUUACAAUGCGGGAAACCGUGAUAAGGGGACACCGAGUGCCAGCAUCAUAUGCUGGCUGUCCGGGUGUGUAAAAUACACCUGUUAGCAAGGGCCGGGCAAGACCGGUGCCAGCCGCCGCGGUAACACCGGCGGCCCGAGUGGUGAUCGUGAUUAUUGGGUCUAAAGGGUCCGUAGCCGGUUUGGUCAGUCCUCCGGGAAAUCUGAUAGCUCAACUAUUAGGCUUUCGGGGGAUACUGCCAGACUUGGAACCGGGAGAGGUAAGAGGUACUACAGGGGUAGGAGUGAAAUCUUGUAAUCCCUGUGGGACCACCUGUGGCGAAGGCGUCUUACCAGAACGGGUUCGACGGUGAGGGACGAAAGCUGGGGGCACGAACCGGAUUAGAUACCCGGGUAGUCCCAGCCGUAAACGAUGCUCGCUAGGUGUCAGGCAUGGCGCGACCGUGUCUGGUGCCGCAGGGAAGCCGUGAAGCGAGCCACCUGGGAAGUACGGCCGCAAGGCUGAAACUUAAAGGAAUUGGCGGGGGAGCAC
This 796-nucleotide ribosomal RNA is filed under the name uncultured archaeon. Its description in RNAcentral is "bacterial SSU rRNA". It matches the Rfam family "Archaeal small subunit ribosomal RNA", at positions 85 to 879 of the family's 1478-position model. The record is from RNAcentral.